AAAGGGUCUGUAGCCGGCCGGAUAAGUCUUUUGGGAAAUCUGGCAGCUUAACUGUCAGGCUUUCAGAGGAUACUGUCUGGCUCGAGGCCGGGAGAGGUGAGAGGUACUUCAGGGGUAGGGGUGAAAUCUUGUAAUCCUUGAAGGACCACCAGUGGCGAAGGCGUCUCACCAGAACGGACCUGACGGCAAGGGACGAAAGCUAGGGGCACGAACCGGAUUAGAUACCCGGGUAGUCCUAGCCGUAAACGAUACUCGCUAGGUGUCGGCCACGGUGCGACCGUUGUCGGUGCCGUAGGGAAGCCGUGAAGCGAGCCACCUGGGAAGUACGGCCGCAAGGCUGAAACUUAAAGGAAUUGGCGGGGGAGCACCACAACGGGUGGAGCUUGCGGUUUAAUUGGAUUCAACGCCGGAAAUCUUACCGGGACCGACAGCAACAUGAAGGCCAGGCUGAAGACUUUGCCGGAUUAGCUGAGAGGAGG
RNAcentral lists this ribosomal RNA (479 nucleotides) under uncultured archaeon. RNAcentral's name for it is "bacterial SSU rRNA". It matches the Rfam family "Archaeal small subunit ribosomal RNA", at positions 512 to 990 of the family's 1478-position model. The record is from RNAcentral.